Long non-coding RNA from Cynara cardunculus var. scolymus (artichoke), 688 nucleotides. RefSeq lists it as uncharacterized. The transcript is spliced from 4 exons. Lineage: Eukaryota; Viridiplantae; Streptophyta; Magnoliopsida; Asterales; Asteraceae. The record is from RefSeq and is a predicted model, not a curated record.
CAUUGAUAUCCAGGAAGAACUUUUGAGCAAUUUUUCGACCAGGUUUCAAUCAAUGAGAUUAUCAUCAACGGCUAGAACAUGAGAUUCAUGCUCUAAAUGGGGGGUCUCUAAUGGUGAUUUUGUUGAUAAGACGCUUUUUGUGUUCAAGUGUAUGUCUCCAUCAGAGUCAUAUCCGUUAGACGAGAUUCUCCCGUUCCUAAGUAAGGGGACGUUUACACAAAUGCCUACCUGGUGCACGAGCCAAUUCACGGUCUAAGACCUUCUCUUCCUACACAACCCAAUAUUACCUGAUAUCAUCCUCUGGUAUGUAUUCGGUAUCAUUCAUGCUCCUAGGUUGGAAGACUGGCCUAUAACGCUUGUAGAGCGGAUUGGGUUUAUGGUUCAGGUGUUUGAAUACAUAAAUAGUUGUAUAUUUGUUGGGAUUGAAAUUGAGAUUGUGUUGCAGCCACAUGGGUUUUUUAAUUGCUCCCCAACGAUAGACGUUCCAUCUGGAGCUUGUGAGUCAAAUGUGAAAGAUAGCAGCAGCCAUGUGAAAGAUGGUACUGCUCCAAAGGCGGUUUCAAUUGGCUUGAUAGCAACCAAGCUUUGAUUUGGCAAAUAUUUUGGAUUUGUUGUGUGAAGCUGAACCAGUACUGUACAAUCUUUUCUUAUGGUUGGAUUUUUAUAGGGGGAGGCUAAUGGCACCCCU